CUUUAUACAGAGGUUUUCUUUCUUCUAAUGCAAGUUCCGAGGUUAAACAAUAAGGAGGUACCUUGACAUGAGCAUACAAAAUAAUUCCAGUCAAUGUCAAAGUUAUUCCAAUGACUUGAUUCAUCGCUAAAGUUUCAUGAAAUACAAUAGCUCCACCCAAAAGUAAAAGACAGAAUUUGGAAUGUCCCACCAUAUUAUAUCUAAGUUUUAAAUGAAGGUGUAUACAAUAUCAUACUAAGAAUUUGUUACAAUUACAACUGUUACAAAGGAUACGUUAAAGGUUCCAACAAUGGUACAACAAUAAGCAACAUAAUUGCUGAUAAGGGUGCUUGAUAAUACAACAAUUGCAUAGGAUCCAUUUGAAAUUCUU
Polistes dominula (European paper wasp) is the source of this 370-nucleotide long non-coding RNA. RefSeq lists it as uncharacterized. The record is from RefSeq and is a predicted model, not a curated record. Lineage: Eukaryota; Metazoa; Arthropoda; Insecta; Hymenoptera; Vespidae.